Long non-coding RNA from Ictalurus punctatus (channel catfish), 598 nucleotides. RefSeq lists it as uncharacterized. The record is from RefSeq and is a predicted model, not a curated record. The transcript is spliced from 2 exons. NCBI's taxonomy places the organism in Eukaryota, Metazoa, Chordata, Actinopteri, Siluriformes, Ictaluridae.
CUCGUCUAGCACCUUUUUGUUGCCUGCUCUCCUGAUUUAGCUCCACUGCUUGAAGCGUGGGUGAUAACGUUACAACCGAUUCAGCUGACGUGCUUCUGACGUUCACUAGCAUAGCGCUAUCGUUUGUGCAUAUGGAUGGCGACUGUUGAAUGUAGGCUGUGUAACUGAGUAUCCUGUUAUAUCCAGAGACCCGGGGAAAGUGCUGUUUUUUUUGCAGUGGUAUUACCACUCCUUUGUUCUUAGUGGUCUGCCUCGGGCACAUUGUCUGUUCCUGUGUGUUUCGCGGAGCCUUCAUGGAGCUGCAGGCCUCCAUAGGAGUAGGGAGUGUGGCUGUCCUCCUCUUUUUGUUGGCGGUGUUUCCUCACCGAAUGCUGUGACCUGCAGUGUACACUGGGAUUUUCUGUUGGUACAUAUGUGAAUGUGGGAUGUGAAAAGGGAGAACAAUUCGCUUUCUGUCUAGCCUGCUCUGUAGUCAAGCUCUGUGAGGGUGUAUCUUUUGUACAAUGUGUGCUCAGAAGUGAUUAGGUGCAUACCUUUUAGUGAAGGCUAUAUCAUAUGAUGCAUUUUUAUUGUAAUAAAAGACUUCUGUAUUUGAGAA